UACGUAGGGGGCAAGCGUUAUCCGGAUUUACUGGGUGUAAAGGGAGCGUAGACGGCUCUGCAAGUCUGAAGUGAAAGCUCGGGGCUCAACCCCGGAACUGCUUUGGAAACUGUAAAGCUGGAGUGCAGGAGAGGUAAGCGGAAUUCCUAGUGUAGCGGUGAAAUGCGUAGAUAUUAGGAGGAACACCAGAGGCGAAGGCGGCUUACUGGACUGUAACUGACGUUGAGGCUCGAAGGCGUGGGGAGCAAAC
Molecule: ribosomal RNA, 250 nt
Filed under: uncultured prokaryote
Description: partial 16S ribosomal RNA
Rfam family: Bacterial small subunit ribosomal RNA
Source: RNAcentral